UUGGAAUCUUGUUUUUUUUUUUUUUUUAUGAGAUAGAUAGUAUGCUACCUGUUUCGUUUCUUUCAUUUAUAAAUAAAUUUAACUGAAUAUGUGAAUCAACUAGGAUUCGAACUCGGGACCUCAAGUACCAACCAUCAAGCUUUUUGCCACUUGUGUUAGGGGCGGUCGGUUGGUUGGAAUUUUAUAUGCAUUUCGCAAGCCGGGAAAAGAAACCCUUUGAAAACAGUACUGUGUCUACUUCAGUAUUAAAAAAAAGGGUUAAUUGCAUACAGGUUCCUACAAAUAUGAUGAAUUUUAGAUAUAUCUCUAUAAGUUCAAUUUUCAAAUGUUAUCCCUGUAAAAAUUCUAAUAUUUUCAGAUAUAUUCCUUUAGUUAGAUCACAGGAUACCACAAGAUACUAAAUUGACACACUUUAAAUCACAUGGUACCAAAGUAAGAAAGUGCGAAACUAUAGGGAUAGUAUUUGAAAUUUUUCUAAAACAAAAGAAAAAAAAGAGAGAAGGAUUCAACAAAUUGCAUUUUUAACUGCGCUAAGAAUAUGAGAUAGGUGUGGAGGUCGACAGAGAUUUUUACCAUUAUUUUAUAGCAUCGAAGGAGUUUUCAGGUGUUAAUAGAAUUUUUCAAACUCUGCAAUUCUUUAUGGAUCUUACUGUAGAAUGUAGUGAUUUUCAAUUAAAAUCUUUUAAAUUGAUACAUUCAUCAAGGAAAAGCUAUACAAACGUUUUACUAGAAACGACUACCACUGAAAAUAGAAACAAAAGCGAGGAGGAGGAGCGAUCACAAAGGCAAUUCCAAAGGCUUGCUAAACCCUAGAGAGAGAUUGUGCUUGAGGCUCUGAAGCCAUCAAUUUGGGUGAUGAAGGAGAAGUUACUUUGUUUGUGAAAAGAGGCUCAGGAGAUUGCUGCUUUUCGCAACUUCAGAAGAAAAGCACAAAUAAAGCAAGUAUGAGCCCCUUGGAGGAUCAUCCUAAUGUUUUUCACAUCACAUUUUUGCCCCACUUCUAAGUCCUAACAUUUCAACAGCUGUUACCACUGGUACCACAACAAAAAAUGGUGGUCACAUUUGCUUAACUAGUGUAACUAGUGUUGUAUUCUUCCUUUUUAUCUACUCUCAAUACGUUUUGGUUUGUUUAAUCUUAUUUUCAAGUUAGUUGAUUACAACUCAUUUUGUUUAGUUUUCUUUUUCAACUAAAAAGUAACUUAGUCCAAGUUUUUGAACUCUUGACAAUAGUUGGAACUGUAUAUUUUGUAAUUGAAAACAGCUCAACAGUAAAAUUUUCAAGAUACAGGAAAGCAACAAAGAUUGAUCCUCUGAAAGAAGAACAUAGAUAAUUUAUUGAAACAACNUGUGAACAGAAGAAAGAAAGAAAGAAAAAAAGAAAGAAAGAAAGGAAAUGGAAAAGGCGCUGAAAAAGUGAAACUGAAUCCUCACCGAUCGUUCUCUUUUUCCUCGUUCCGCCCACCACCGCACACGCUCUCACGUGCGCUGCACGUGCACCAUUUGCUGUAUUGGAAUCUUGUUUUUUUUUUUUUUUUUUUUUUUUAUGAGAUAGAUAGUAUGGUAUCCGUUUCGUUUAUUUUAUUUAUAAAUAAAUUUAGUUGAAUAUGUGAAUCAACUAAGAUUCGAACUCGGGACUUCGAGUACCAACCAUCAAGCUUUUUCCCACUUGUGCUAGGGACGGUCGGUUGGUUGGAAUUUUAUAUGCAUUUCGCAAGUUGGGGAAACAAGCCCUUUGAAAACAGUACUGUGUCUACUUCAGUAUUAAAAAAAAGGGUUAAUUGCAUACAGGUUCCUACAAAUAUGAUGAAUUUUAGAUAUAUCUCUACAAGUUUAAUUUUCAAAUGUUAUCCCUGCAAAAAUCCUAAUAUUUUCAGAUAUAUUUCUCUAAUUAGAUCACAGGAUACCACAAGAUACUAAAUUAACACACUUUAAAUCACAUGGUACCAAAGUAAGAAAGUGCGAAAUUAUAGGGGUGGUAUUUGAAAUUUUUCUAAAACAAAAGAAAAAAAAGAGAGAAGGAUU
Molecule: long non-coding RNA, 2022 nt
Filed under: Ananas comosus (pineapple)
Lineage: Eukaryota; Viridiplantae; Streptophyta; Magnoliopsida; Poales; Bromeliaceae
Description: long non-coding RNA (ACOM_LNC014516)
Source: RNAcentral